CAACUCUAACAUCUAUGAAUGUGAAAAAGGAACUAAUGCUAUAACCACUAAACUGAUGUUCAGGCCUGCGUGCAUCUUCACUAAUUCCACGGGGACUCUACUAUCUCCCGAUAACACACGUACCGGGUAACUUAGAACACCAAGACUCGCUAAACUUCCGAGUAUUACAAGCUGGAGAUUUGAUCGGAACCUAUGACCAAAAAGUUGAGUUCCUGCAGUGGACGGAAAAUGACUCCGACAAUCCAAUAGCGUCGUGUACCCUAAGCCUAGUACCUUGUUGUCCUACCACUACGGAUGCAACUUUGGACGCUAUGGAACCCAUGUUUUUCAAAUCAGACACACCCCUCAAUAUUCCAUACAAAAUACCUGAUGCAUAAGCAUCCCCUGCGCCACAGGUAUCCACGGGCGUGCAUGGUGAUGGAGGAAUAUAGAUAGCUUCCCCUUUUACACCAAUGUAAGAACCUUUUGGCCCAUCUGUGACAGAAACUAAAGGGACGAAAUGGCUCAGGUACCUUGUAGCAGAAAGGGGACUUUCAUUUGAUGAAAAGUGACAGAAAGCUUUUGCUUCUUCGCUGUUCGCAAAUACUAUAUCUGCAUAAUUUGCCAUGAUUUCCCAGUAAUCAUCAUAAUGUCUCUCAAUG
RNAcentral lists this unclassified non-coding RNA (641 nucleotides) under Hevea brasiliensis (rubber tree). The record is from RNAcentral. Lineage: Eukaryota; Viridiplantae; Streptophyta; Magnoliopsida; Malpighiales; Euphorbiaceae.